UACGGAGGGAGCGAGCGUUGUUCGGAAUCAUUGGGCGUAAAGGGCAUGUAGGCGGCUUUGCAAGUCGGAUGUGAAAUCCCAUUACUCAAAGAUGGAACGGCAUUCGUAACUGCAAGGCUUGAGUGCAGGGGAAGAGAGCGGAAUUCUCGGUGUAGCGGUGAAAUGCGUAGAUAUCGAGAAGAACACCAGCGGCGUAAGCGGCUCUCUAUCCUGACACUGACGCUGAGAUGCGAAAGCCAGGGGAGCGAACGGG
Molecule: ribosomal RNA, 253 nt
Filed under: uncultured prokaryote
Description: partial 16S ribosomal RNA
Rfam family: Bacterial small subunit ribosomal RNA
Source: RNAcentral